AACUCAAAGGAAUUGGCGGGGGCCUGCACAAGCGGUGGAGCAUGUGGUUUAAUUCGAAGCAACGCGCAGAACCUUACCAGCGUUUGACAUGGUAGGACGGUUACCAGAGAUGGUUUCCUUCCCUUACGGGACCUACACACAGGUGCUGCAUGGCUGUCGUCGGCUCGUGUCGUGAGAUGUUGGGUUAAGUCCCGCAACGAGCGCAACCCUCGUCCUUAGUUGCCAUCAUUUAGUUGGGCACUCUAAAGAAACUGACGGUGAUAAGCCGGAGGAAGGUGGGGAUGACGUCAAGUCCUCAUGGCCCUUACGCGCUGGGCUACACACGUGCUACAAUGGCGGUGACAAUGGGCAGCAAACCCGCGAGGGUGAGCUGAUCUCCAAAAGCCGUCUCAGUUCGGAUCGUUCUCUGCAACUCGAGAGCGUGAAGGCGGAAUCGCUAGUAAUCGUGGAUCAGCAUGCCACGGUGAAUACGUUCCCAGGCCUUGCACACACCGCCCGUCACCGCUCGUGUACAACCGCC
Molecule: ribosomal RNA, 520 nt
Filed under: uncultured Sphingomonas sp.
Lineage: Bacteria; Pseudomonadati; Pseudomonadota; Alphaproteobacteria; Sphingomonadales; Sphingomonadaceae
Description: bacterial SSU rRNA
Rfam family: Bacterial small subunit ribosomal RNA
Source: RNAcentral